GAUUAGCUAGUUGGUGAGGUAAUGGCUCACCAAGGCGACGAUCCCUAGCUGGUCUGAGAGGAUGAUCAGCCACACUGGAACUGAGACACGGUCCAGACUCCUACGGGAGGCAGCAGUGGGGAAUAUUGCACAAUGGGCGAAAGCCUGAUGCAGCCAUGCCGCGUGUAUGAAGAAGGCCUUCGGGUUGUAAAGUACUUUCAGUUGUGAGGAAGGGGGU
This 217-nucleotide ribosomal RNA is filed under the name Vibrio splendidus ZF-90. RNAcentral describes it as "partial 16S ribosomal RNA". It matches the Rfam family "Bacterial small subunit ribosomal RNA", at positions 239 to 455 of the family's 1533-position model. The record is from RNAcentral. Lineage: Bacteria; Pseudomonadati; Pseudomonadota; Gammaproteobacteria; Vibrionales; Vibrionaceae.